GUUAUUUAAUGGCCGCAGUAUUUUGACUGUGCAAAGGUAGCAUAAUCAUUAGUUUCUUAAAUGGGGUCUUGUAUGAAGGGUUAAAUGAGAAGGGGGCUGUCUCUAAUUAAGAUAUAAAAUUUUAUUUUUAAGUAAAAAAGCUUAAAUUUGUAUAAAAGACGAUAAGACCCUAUAGAGUUUCAUAGUUUGACCUUUAAUAUGUUUUUAGGGUUAAAAUUGAGGUCAAUUUAUUUGAUUGGGGUGAUUAUAAAAUUAAGGAAACUUUUGUAGUGAUUUACAUAGAUUUAUGGGAAAAGUAGAUGAUCCAAUUAUUUUGAUUAAAAGAUUAAAUUACCUUAGGGAUAACAGCGUAAUUUUUUUUAAGAGCUCUAAUCAAUAAAGAAGAUUGCGACCUCGAUGUUGGAUUAAAAUUAAACCUUGGUGCAGAAGCUGAGGGUUU
RNAcentral lists this ribosomal RNA (439 nucleotides) under Neochlamisus bebbianae. Its description in RNAcentral is "partial 16S large subunit ribosomal RNA". It matches the Rfam family "Bacterial large subunit ribosomal RNA", at positions 1919 to 2574 of the family's 2925-position model. Lineage: Eukaryota; Metazoa; Arthropoda; Insecta; Coleoptera; Chrysomelidae. The record is from RNAcentral.